GAGGAGCGGAGGUGCCCUAGCCGUCGGAGGAGGAGCGAGGCUUGGCUCCCUGGGUCCUGCGUGAACUGUUCUUGAGGCGAGCACCUACCUGGAACCACCCUGGGUAGGAAACUGGGGGAAAUGGCGCUUCCGCUUGGCUAUACUGACACGGAAAAAUGUUGUAAGAACAAAACUGGAUGUCAUUGCUAUUCGUCACUGUUGGGAUUGAACUCACGACUGCCUGCUAUCAAGGGCAAGGUGUUCUAGAAACACGAGCCUGGCACAUUUGGCUUCCAGCUUCUGGUCUGGCCAUGUGAACCUCCACUCGCAUCCACCUUUAGCCCCUCACUAGAGGGUAAACCAAUGGAGCUGUCUGAUCUUGGACUUCCAGCCCCAAAACUGAGCUAGCAAUUGGCCUGGCAUGAAAGUUUUUGAACCAGAGCUUGGAGACUGAGACAGUGAGUCAACACUCAGAGUCAUCCCUCAGGCAAACCAGGAUGGUGUCAGCCUCAGCGCCACAAGAGAAAACACCUCAUCCUGUUAGCUGUCCAAAGUGCUAGCUAAACUUCUCCAAGAGUAAAGGAACUGUUUCUGAAAAAUUCAGCUCUCUCCUUCAACAUGGCACAGUUGAAGAUGGAAGACUGCCAUAAAUCAGCAGCUACACCAUUUUUUUUUUGUUUUUUAAUUUUUAUUUUGGAGAGAAUAAAACCAAAUGAGAGAAAACAAAAUGGGGUCAGUCAAAACAAAAGGAUGGACAUAGUACAUGACUCAAAACCAAAAUACAAAGUGAUCUACAAUGGUUA
Molecule: long non-coding RNA, 782 nt
Organism: Cavia porcellus (domestic guinea pig)
Lineage: Eukaryota; Metazoa; Chordata; Mammalia; Rodentia; Caviidae
Exons: 6
Source: RefSeq, a predicted model, not a curated record